This 78-nucleotide microRNA precursor is filed under the name Schistosoma margrebowiei. RNAcentral's name for it is "mir-3492 microRNA precursor family". It matches the Rfam family "mir-3492 microRNA precursor family". Lineage: Eukaryota; Metazoa; Platyhelminthes; Trematoda; Strigeidida; Schistosomatidae. The record is from Rfam by way of RNAcentral.
AGCCUUCUGUAUCCAUGCUGAGAUUUCGUCACAAACCAGACCACAAGGGCUGAUGAGACUUCCAAGAUAAGUGAAGCG